This 1217-nucleotide long non-coding RNA is filed under the name Anas platyrhynchos platyrhynchos (common mallard). RNAcentral's name for it is "lncRNA (ENSAPLG00000018817.1)". The record is from RNAcentral. Lineage: Eukaryota; Metazoa; Chordata; Aves; Anseriformes; Anatidae.
CAGCAACAGAAGAUCCACUGUGGUGACACUGUAGCUGUGUCAAAUGACAUCCACCCUCUCACAGCUGUGGGUCUGAACACCGCUGCAGGAAAAAAAGAGGGACUUUGGCUCAAUGCAUUCCUAGAAGAGAUCUAUUUCCUUGGUUCCUAGAGCAUCUUUUUACACUAGGAGUGAUACAAGCUUCAAGAAUUAUGUGGUUUACAAGACUUGACUUCCAAACCUGGCAACUGACACAGCAAGAGAAAGCAAAAAAUCUCAAAUGCAAACCCCAAAUACCUUUCAAAUGCAAACCAUGGUAAGAAAACUGCCAGUCUCUUGAGACAUAUCUGCACCUGUCAUUUAAAAUUAGAGGGUAGUGGAGAAAUAAUCCACUUCAAUCAUUUUGUCUUUGGGGACGUGGUUUCUUCACUGAUGUCAAGUCCAAAGAUCCUGCUGAAAUAGAAAAAGGAAGCAUUCUUUAAAUUUAACAGUAGUAAUGAAGACCAUUCCUACUCUUUUGGACCCAUUAAAUAUGGAAUGAAAGCAUUUGCUAUAUUACCAGCAUCAUAACAACUGACAGUAUCUGCUUCUGGCAGUGCUAUGUGAGCAGAGAAGAGGUAACAGGCUGCUGGCAGCAGAAGUUUCAGUAUUAUUAUUUAAUGUUGAUUUUUCAGUGGAUUCCAGGAACACUUUGGCCAGGCCCAUUUCCAAAGAUGAGUUCCAAAUAAUACAAGUGCUUUUCAGGUAGAAAUGAGAAAAUGUUCAGGUCCUAUUUAGGAAAUGAGGCCAAUAAUUUAUUUAGAGAGUUAACACAAGGGAAGUGACCCUUCCCAGGUGCCCCACAGCCACUAAGUGGGAUUCACUAGUAGCAAUCCUUUAGGGAGAAGAAUUUGUUCUCCUGGAAGUGCUUUCAGUAGCUGACUAUGUGCUUGGAAAUAGGUUGCUGUCUGUCUCAUUUCCUUAAUUUCCUGGCUCUGCAUCUUACUUUUCAGAGAUAUACUUCUUCUUUUCAUUAAAGAUGGUAUGGUAAAGGGAUGUACUUCUGGGAUCCAAAGCAGUAGCAGAGCUACUCAGCAUGAAGGUGAUGCCAUUGUGUAAGACCCCAUGGGUGGAAGGGGAGUCCAUACUCCAGAAUGAAAAAUGACUCAAGGCAGUGCCUCGUGGCUGCAGUUUGCUGGAGUGAGGCAGAGAAUCCACCCCUUGCACUAGAGCCUUGGAUAACUAAAUGUUAGUGUUUC